Molecule: ribosomal RNA, 329 nt
Filed under: uncultured eukaryote
Lineage: Eukaryota
Description: partial 18S ribosomal RNA
Rfam family: Eukaryotic small subunit ribosomal RNA
Source: RNAcentral
CCCUUAGAUGUUCUGGGCCGCACGCGCGCUACACUGAUGCAUUCAACGAGUCUAAAACCUGCUCUGAUAGGGGUGGGUAAUCUUUUGAAUGUGCAUCGUGAUUGGGAUAGAUGAUUGAAAUUUUUCAUCUUCAACGAGGAAUGCCUAGUAAACGCAAGUCAUCAGCUUGCAUUGAUUACGUCCCUGCCCUUUGUACACACCACCCGUCGCUCCUACCGAUUGAAUGAUCCGAUGAAUAUCAUGGAUUGAGGAUGCAAGUAGGUUCACCUAUCUUCAUCUUCGAGAAGUGAAGUAAAUCUUAUCAUUUAGAGGAAGGAGAAGUCGUAACA